Molecule: non-coding RNA, 288 nt
Organism: Paramuricea clavata
Lineage: Eukaryota; Metazoa; Cnidaria; Anthozoa; Malacalcyonacea; Plexauridae
Source: the annotation of a GenBank genome assembly
CGCCGCGAAUUUUCAUCUCGUCCGACAUUAAUUUACGAUAACGAACCUCUGCAUAUUUCUGACGUGCCUUUGCAUUCUUGCGAAGUCUUUGUGUUUCCUUCUUCCAUUUCUGAGCAUCGGAUUUCCAAUAAGAUACUUCCUUACGAAGUCUUUUCUCCUCUUUUGCAAUGUCCUUUUCCCAUUUUCCUUCGUCGCGAAGUUUCCAUCCCGUCUCCCUCUUAUUCUGCCUCCAUCUCCUCUCCUCCUUCUCACGUUGUUUUCGACGAUCCUUAAAUUCUUUCGCCGUAG